Long non-coding RNA from Equus quagga, 351 nucleotides. RefSeq lists it as uncharacterized. The record is from RefSeq and is a predicted model, not a curated record. The transcript has 2 exons. NCBI's taxonomy places the organism in Eukaryota, Metazoa, Chordata, Mammalia, Perissodactyla, Equidae.
CCCCCACUCGCAGCACCCUCGCUGGUCCCAGUCUCAGAGCAGCUCCUCCUCUUCUCCUGCAGCCCACGGUCCAACCUGCAUUCACCAUGCGGGGCCUCUGCUUCGUGCUCCUGACCUGCUUCAUCUUCUUUGCUUACUUUGCCACAGCCUGGGUCAUGGAGAUAGACUCAGAAGAGGAGUGCGAGCGGGUUGGUGCCCAGUGUAAAUGGUUUUCUUGCCCAGAUGAUCAUGCACGUCUUGGUACCUGUUGGUUUGGGAUAAAGAAAUGCUGUCGGUAGCUGGGAUGAGCUGAAGAACACAGAGGACAAGGAGCCCAGAGACUGAAAUAAAGGGCUGACUAUAACUCUGAAA